GCGUUUUUGGGACAGUCGGAGGGACAUUACCGAGUUUACAACUCCCAAACCCAAUGUGAACGUUACCAAACUGUUGCCUCGGCGGGAUCUCUGCCCCGGGUGCGUCGCAGCCCCGGACCAAGGCGCCCGCCGGAGGACCAACCAAAACUCUUAUUGUAUACCCCCUCGCGGGUUUUUUACUAUCUGAGCCAUCUCGGCGCCCCUCGUGGGCGUUUCAAAAAUGAAUCAAAACUUUCAACAACGGAUCUCUUGGUUCUGGCAUCAAUGAAGAACGCAGCGAAAUGCGAUAAGUAAUGUGAAUUGCAGAAUUCAGUGAAUCAUCGAAUCUUUGAACGCACAUUGCGCCCGCCAGUAUUCUGGCGGGCAUGCCUGUCCGAGCGUCAUUUCAACCCUCAAACCCCUCCGGGGGGUCGGCGUUGGGGAUCGGCCCUUUACGGGGCCGGCCCCGAAAUACAGUGGCGGUCUCGCCGCAGCCUCUCCUGCACACUACUUUGCACACUCUCAUCGGGAGCGCGGCGCGUCCACACCCGUUAAACACGCUAGACAUCUGAAAUGUCGACCUCGAAUCCUGUACUAAUACCCGCUGAACUUCAUUAUAUCACUUUUUGGAAGCAA
RNAcentral lists this ribosomal RNA (615 nucleotides) under Trichoderma virens. RNAcentral describes it as "eukaryotic LSU rRNA". The stretch from base 230 to 383 matches the Rfam family "5.8S ribosomal RNA". The record is from RNAcentral. Lineage: Eukaryota; Fungi; Ascomycota; Sordariomycetes; Hypocreales; Hypocreaceae.